Molecule: ribosomal RNA, 158 nt
Filed under: Shiraia bambusicola
Lineage: Eukaryota; Fungi; Ascomycota; Dothideomycetes; Pleosporales; Shiraiaceae
Also listed under: 4 other names
Description: 5.8S ribosomal RNA
Rfam family: 5.8S ribosomal RNA
About the family: 5.8S ribosomal RNA (5.8S rRNA) is a component of the large subunit of the eukaryotic ribosome. It is transcribed by RNA polymerase I as part of the 45S precursor that also contains 18S and 28S rRNA.
Source: RNAcentral
CAACUUUCAACAACGGAUCUCUUGGUUCUGGCAUCGAUGAAGAACGCAGCGAAAUGCGAUAAGUAGUGUGAAUUGCAGAAUUCAGUGAAUCAUCGAAUCUUUGAACGCACAUUGCGCCCCAUGGUAUUCCAUGGGGCAUGCCUGUUCGAGCGUCAUUU